GACGAACGCUGGCGGCGUGCUUAACACAUGCAAGUCGAACGGAAAGGCCCUGCUUUUGUGGGGUGCUCGAGUGGCGAACGGGUGAGUAACACGUGAGUAACCUGCCCUUGACUUUGGGAUAACUUCAGGAAACUGGGGCUAAUACCGGAUAGGAGCUCCUGCUGCAUGGUGGGGGUUGGAAAGUUUCGGCGGUUGGGGAUGGACUCGCGGCUUAUCAGCUUGUUGGUGGGGUAGUGGCUUACCAAGGCUUUGACGGGUAGCCGGCCUGAGAGGGUGACCGGCCACAUUGGGACUGAGAUACGGCCCAGACUCCUACGGGAGGCAGCAGUGGGGAAUAUUGCACAAUGGGCGGAAGCCUGAGGCAGCAACGCCGCGUGCGGGAUGACGGCCUUCGGGUUGCAAACCGCUUUCGCCUGUGACGAAGCGUGAGUGACGGUAAUGGGUAAAGAAGCACCGGCUAACUACGU
This 467-nucleotide ribosomal RNA is filed under the name uncultured bacterium. Its description in RNAcentral is "partial 16S ribosomal RNA". It matches the Rfam family "Bacterial small subunit ribosomal RNA", at positions 28 to 506 of the family's 1533-position model. The record is from RNAcentral.